Molecule: long non-coding RNA, 2756 nt
Filed under: Coturnix japonica (Japanese quail)
Lineage: Eukaryota; Metazoa; Chordata; Aves; Galliformes; Phasianidae
Description: lncRNA (ENSCJPG00005006715.1)
Source: RNAcentral
UCCCGCAGCCGGUUCGUCCCCGCGGGGCGGCGAAACGGGAGAGAAAACCCCGCAGCGCUGCCGGGACCAGCACGGCGCCAUCCCGGCACCGAACCGCCCCGGUUCCCAUCGGACAACACCGGCAGCGGGGCGGCCCGGUUCGGUUCUCGGCCCGGUUCUGUUCACGGCCCGGUUCUGUUCUCGGCCCGGUUCUGUUCGCGGCCCGGUUCUGUUCUCGGCCCGCAGCAGCAGCACCGCGCGGCGCUUCUCCGCCUGUCCGCCUCGUAUCGGCUUUUCGGCCCCGUUAUUUCCCUUUUUCCCCCGAUUUCUGCCCCAUUUCUCCCCUAUUUCCCCCCCUUUCCUCCCCGUUUCCUUCCCCAUUUCCUCCCAUUUCCUUUUCCUUCCCCCCUUUCCUUUCCCCGUUCUCUUUUCUAUUCCUUUCUCCCUUUAUUUCCCCCCCUCCAUCUUUUCCUUUUCCCCCUUUAUUUCUCCCCUUUUAUUUCCCCCCCUUUCUCACCCCUUUUAUUUCCCUUUUCCAUCCCUUUCCCCCCCUUUUAUCCCCUUUAUUUCCCCCCAUUUCCUUCCCUUUUCCUCCCCCUUUUCCUCCAUUUCCCCCUUUAUUUCCCUUUUAUUUCCUUUAUUCCCCCUUUUCUUUCCUCCCUUUUCCCCCUUUUUCCUAUUUCCUUCUUUUUCCCUUUUUUCCUUUUCCUUUUUCGUUCCCUUUCCUUUAUUUCCCCCUUUAAUUCCAUUCGAUCCCCCCUUGAUUUCCCAUUUAUUCCCUUGAUUUCCCUCUUUAAUCCCCCCCUUAUUUCAUUUUCCCCUAUUUAUUUCCUUUUAGUUCAUUUAUUUCCCCCUUUAUUCCCUUUAUUUCCUUUAUUUUCCCCUUUAUUUCCCCCCUUAUUCAUUUUAUUUCUCCCUUUAUUUCCCUUUAUUUCAUUUAUUUCCCCCUUUAUUCAAUUCGUUUUCCCCUUUAUUCCCUUUAUUUCCACUUUUAUUUCCCCAUUUAUUCCUUUUAUUUUUCCCAUUAUUUCCCUUUAUUUCUCAUUUAUUCCCUUUAUUUCUUUUAUUUCCCCCUUUAUUCCUUUUAUCUCAUUUAUUCCCCUUAUUCCUCCUUUUAUUUCCCCAUUUAUUCCUUUUAUUUUCCCCGUUAUUUCCUUAAUUUCCCCCUUUAUUUCCCUCCUUAUUUCUUCUAUUUCCCCUUUAUUCAAUUUAUUUCCGCCUUUAGUUCACUUAUUUCCCCUCUUAUUUCCCUUUAUUUCAUUUAUUCCCAUUAUUUCCCCUUUUAUUUCCCCCUUUAUUUCCCCUUUUAUUUUCCCAAUUAUUUCUUUUAUUUCUCCCUUUAUUUCCCCUCUUAUUUCUUCUAUUUCCCCCUUUAUUCACUUUUUAUUUCCUCCUUUAUUUCCAUUUAUUUCAUUUAUUUCCCCCUUUAUUCAAUUUAUUUCCUCCUUUAUUCCCUUUAUUUCCCUCCUUAUUUCUUUUAUUUCUCCCUUUAUUUCCCUUUAUUCCAUUUAUUUCCCCCCUUAUUUACUUUAUUUCCUUUAUUUCCCCUUUUAUUUUCCCUCUUAUUUCCCCCUUUAUUCCCUUUAUUUCCCAUUAAUUCAUUUAUUUUUCCCUUUAUUUCCCCCUUUAUUUCCCUCUUAUUUCCCCCUUUUAUUUCCCCUUUUAUUCCCUUUAUUCCCCCCUUUAUUUCAUUUAUUUCCCCCCAUAUUUAUUUCAUUUCUUUUAUUUCCCAUUUUAUUUUCCCUCUUAUUUCCCUCUUUAUUUCCACCUUUAUUCCCUUUAUUUCCCCCUUUAUUUCCCCUUUAUUUCCCCCUUUAUUUCCCCUUUAUUUCCCCCUUUAUUCCCUUUAUUUCCCAUUAUUUCCCCCAUUAUUUCCCCCUUUAUUUCCCCCUUUAUUUCCCCUUUAUUUCCCCCUUUAUUUUCCCCUUUAUUUCCCAUUAUUUCCCCCUUUAUUCCCUUUAUUUCCCAUUAAUUCAUUUAUUUCCCCCAUUAUUUCCCCCUUUAUUUCCCCCUUUAUUUCCCCUUUAUUUCCCCCUUUAUUUUCCCCUUUAUUUCCCAUUAUUUCCCCCUUUAUCCCCCCCCUUUAUUUCCCCCCUCUCAGGGGGGUCCCCCCGCUCAGCCCCCCCCCCCCUUCCCCCCCCCCCCCCCCCCAUAGGGUUUCCUCUAUUCACCAAUGGCCGUAGUAGGAUCCUAAGGCAGGAAGUUACGUGUGCGGGACUCCAUAGGUUUAAAACGUCUCCUUCCCUCCCUAUUGAGCCGGGGGGGGGGAUGCGGGGUUCGGAGCUGCGGCAGAACCGGGCCGGGAGGAAGGGGGGGGUCCCUCGGUACCUCCCGGCCUCCGAGACCCCAUUGAUCCCGGGGCGGGUCGGUUCGGUUCCGUCCAGGUUUAAUACGGAACGGAGACCCCAUGGCCGAGCGGAGCGGAAAGAAGCGGAGCGGCUGAACGAGGGAUGAGCGAUGGACGGACCGAACCCGGACGGACCGAACCCGGACCCGCCGCCGGAGGCUGCGGGAACCAGCCCGGCACUUCGGCCUUCGGCACCGGAACCAACGAGCGAUGCGGCCCGGACAGCGGCAGCCCAACCGGACCGGGGGAACCGGACUGCUGCCGCCGGAUCCUGGUGCGAGGUACGGACCGGAACCGCAGCGCUGACACGGACGGACCCACAGCUCCAGCCCCGUCCAGACCCACAUCCCUCCAUCCCCAUCCCUCCUUCCAUCCCCAUCCCUCCCUCCAUCCCCAUCACUCCCCAUCCAUCCCCAGCCCCAUACAGACC